AGCGAACGCUGGCGGUAGGCCUAACACAUGCAAGUCGAACGGCAGCACAGUAAGAGCUUGCUCUUACGGGUGGCGAGUGGCGGACGGGUGAGGAAUACAUCGGAAUCUACUUUUUCGUGGGGGAUAACGUAGGGAAACUUACGCUAAUACCGCAUACGACCUACGGGUGAAAGCAGGGGAUCUUCGGACCUUGCGCGAUUGAAUGAGCCGAUGUCGGAUUAGCUAGUUGGCGGGGUAAAGGCCCACCAAGGCGACGAUCCGUAGCUGGUCUGAGAGGAUGAUCAGCCACACUGGAACUGAGACACGGUCCAGACUCCUACGGGAGGCAGCAGUGGGGAAUAUUGGACAAUGGGCGCAAGCCUGAUCCAGCCAUACCGCGUGGGUGAAGAAGGCCUUCGGGUUGUAAGGCCCUUUUGUUGGGAAAGAAAAGCAGCAGGUUAAUACCCCGCUGUUCUGACGGUACCCAAAGAAUAAGCACCGGCUAACUUCGUG
Molecule: ribosomal RNA, 492 nt
Filed under: uncultured bacterium
Lineage: Bacteria
Description: partial 16S ribosomal RNA
Rfam family: Bacterial small subunit ribosomal RNA
Source: RNAcentral